Molecule: ribosomal RNA, 407 nt
Filed under: uncultured bacterium
Lineage: Bacteria
Description: partial 16S ribosomal RNA
Rfam family: Bacterial small subunit ribosomal RNA
Source: RNAcentral
GAUGAACACUGGCGGCGGGCCUAAUACAUGCAAGUAGAACGCAGUUGCGAACGGGUGAGUAACGCGUAGGUAACUGCCGCAUAGCGGGGGAUAACUCUUGGAAACGAUAGCUAAAACCGCAUACUGUGAGAUGGACGUUCGUUGUAUUAGUUAGGUGGUGAGGUAAAGGCUCAACAAGGCGACGAUACAUAGCCGGCCUGAGAGGGAGAGCCGCCACACUGUGACUGAGACACGGGCCAGACUCCUACCGGAGGGAGCAGUAGGGAAUCUUCGGCAAUUGGCGGAAGGCUGGACGCGCAACGCCGGGGGAGUGAAAAAAGUUUUCGGAUCGUAAAGCUCUGUUGUUCGAGGAGCGGUAACUGAACAAAAAGGGACGGCUAACUACGUGCCAGCAGCCGCGGUAAUAC